AAAAAAAAACAGAAAAAAAUGAAUAUCAAAUAUUGCAGUGCCGCCAUUUUCACUGUGUAAACUAUAGAGCACAUGGACCAGAGAGUUUCCUCAUUAGAAGAGUGUCUAACUGGUUUAUCUCAGAGCGCUGAACUCAAAUUACAUUAAAGGACUACUCGGAUAACAAGCAGCAAUGAAACUCUCUGAGAGAGCUUCAGGCUUCAGACAGGAAAGAAAACUCACAGCUGAUAGUUGUGCUGCAGCCAUUAUAAGGCAGAGGAGCAGCCGACUGCCCCUUUUUAAAUCUAACAACGUUUCAUGGAGCAAGAGUCUGGAGUUUCAAACGUGUCACAGACAUCACAGGAUGGCAACAGAAAACCAGAGCACAUCUCCCUUCAGGAGGUUUGUGUUUGGCUCUUCUGAUAGGAACACCCAUCCUGGAUACUCCAAUUCCUUCAUUUCCUCCUCAGUUUUCCUCUCACUCCAUUAGUUCCUUCACAUCCCUGGUAUUCUAUUCCAGGCUCCCUUUUCUCUUCCUACUUACUGAGGUCCAAGCAUGAAGUAAGAAUGACUUCAAGUCAAACUUGUAGAUAUUUUAUGGGCCGAGGCUCACGUGGGCUCAUGAGUCAGAAGCCAAGCUAAACAACAACAAACUUGAAGUUUAGCACUUCAGAAUAACGUUUCCCACCCACACUGGUAUAAAAGCUCAACUGUCAGUCAAACUUGUGCUGUGUUGAUGUGAUGUUCACUUCACAGUAAUGAUGUGAAGGGCACAGAGAGCAGGACCAAAGAGGGAACGGAAAUCUGGGAGAGAGCAGCGAGUUCCUCUGACGCCGCUAACAGGAAACACUGAGCCGUGAUCCCGAUGAAGCAGAACAACGGAUGAACCAUGACUGGAAGAAAAGGCUACCGAGUUGUAAUAAGCAUUAUUAUAAUGUCAAAAAUCUAAAUGCAUCUUUAUUCAGUUUAGUGAAAUACAAUAACGUUGACCUAGAGGGAAAUUACAGUUUACAGAAACAUAAAACACUGAAGCUCAGCAGACAUCAGCUAUAUGCCCACUGUUACAGCUGAUAAAGCUGAAAGUGAUAAAAGCAAAGGGGACACGGGACAAACACCCAUCAUGUUAUGAGCGUUGAUGUUUGUGCAACUUCCCUUUGGACACACGUGUGUUUUAACUACCACAAACACAAAAAAAACAGCUAAUCUCAGCAUAAUCAGGCAAACUGUUAAUGAGCUUUGUGUGCUUCAUGUUCUGAAAUAAAACAGAAUCAGUAGUAACAGGCAGCCAUCCUAAACCGAGGCCUUGUAGUAACUCUGAUGUGUAGAAGGCCAACUUUGUUCAGGUGAGGGAAGCUCGGUGCUCCCGACAUCACACAGUAUCAGUGCAGGACGGGAGGAAGCAAAGACAAGAGCGUUUUCCAGAAUGGUGCGCUCUGAUUGGUGACCGUACACGAGUCUUUGCUGCCUCAGUCGACAUGGCGACUACAACACGUCACAGUAAGUUUGAGCGCAGCAAGGAUUAACGUGAUGCGACUCGCACCAUUGCUGUCGCCUGGAAACUUUUCUCUUAACUACAAACAGACCCAUGAUUCAUUUCAGCAACGAGUGCCGGCAUUCAAGACGAUCGAGAAACGAAGGAAGCAGAACAAACGCUUGUUCGUCCGAACUUCCACAUGCGUCCAUCCCAACACACAACUACAUGUACCCACACUGAUAAAGUGACAGCUGAACACCAGUCUACAAGAAUAACAUUUACCAAAUGAGAGGCUGCAGCUGCCACUGGCUCUGACAAAAUGAACGGCUUCAUUUUAAUCACCUUUAGUUCUCCAAAUGAGAGAAUUAGGCUACUUAACAAAAAGGCUCGUCACAUUAGACUCAGUUAUAAAACGUCGCUCUGUUACGAUCCCCGGCAACAGCAGAGCUUUCUGUAGCCUCACACAGAGCUUGUGGUCAGGUUCAGCAGCUCACAGGGAAAAACAACAGACAAAUAAAUAAACUCAACUACACAAAAUUACAGCUUCAUUAAGGCUUCCACAAGGAAUACCAAUAUCCAUGCUAGACUGGAAAACAUGCAUCCACAAUGCAUAUUACACAACACAGGCCAGCUCCUUUCUGUAUGGAGUUUGAAUGUGACUUUCGAGCAGUCCAAAGACAUGCGGUCAGCAGGGUUACGUUAACUUUUACAUUGCCCAAAGGUGAGAGUGCAAAUGGCCGUCUGUUUGUGUCAGCCCUGCCAGAGACGGGCCACCUGUUCAGGUGUGCCCGCCUCUCUGGGACAGGCUCCACUCCCCCACAACCCUGAACUGGAUAAGCUUAAGAAAAUGGAUAAAGCAGUCAAAGCAUCUAACAAAUAUCUAUGAAGCCCUGAAAUCUACACAUGAGUCUUGAUCUUAAGUGCUGAACUUUUAUCUGCACUGAAACCACACUUACAACAAACCUGACACAGGUUUUUAAACUGUUUUUGUGACUUUGCUGGAGAGUGAACACCUGUGUGGUGUAUGCAGGACAAAUCUUUAAUGCAAUCUAUAAGAUGAACAGAAAUGCACACUGCUGAAGCUCAGAAACAGCUUGUACCUAACCUUUGAGUGGGUGACGUCAGGUGUGGACGGAUUAUGAAAAACAGAAUAACAAAUGUUUUGACCACAGACCUGAUCACUUGAUUCUGAACAAAAAGAUGAACUCCAUCGCUUUUAGGUAUUACCUGCGAGCUGAAGGUUACCUCAACGUUACAGGUUAAUGAGACCAGAGUAACGGGCCAUACACAGCCCUACCUCACAGCACCAGAAUAUGAAACCUUGAUGUGAUUCUGCACAUGUUUGUAUUUGGAUGGUGGUUUCAGAAUAUUUACAUUUUCAAUUUGUAAUAAUGAGCAAUGAAAACUUAAAGGCUGGUUCCAACAUUUGUAUUGGGUUUUUUAGUGAGUAAUAAAAACAAACAUCUGCCCUGUCAGGUUUGUGUGAAGCCUGAGCAAACACAAAGAACAUCCUCCUCUGCCAGCUGACCACAGUAUGGAGGCUUACUAAGAACUUCUGCGUGCACUUCCUGGGAGGUGAUUUAAAAACAAUACUACUGGCCUCAUCUUAGCCAUCAUGGUCUCAGCCUGCACCAGGCUCCCUUACACUGCUGAGCCAAUCAGUGUAUGACAGUAUAUUACCAUCCCUGCUCUUUGUUCACCUGCUGUUAUAGCAGACCAUAUCUGAAAUGCAUCUAUCCUGAUUAUCAGAUAUGUGUGUAUCAAUUGGCUCACCGUAUUAAAACCUACUGAGUGCCUGUCGUGCAGCUGUAAACAAACAAAAAGACAUUACUCCGUUCAUUUGAACCAACUGUUAGCAGACAGAAAUGACUUCUUCAUGAGGUCUGUAGGAGAAACACAGCAUAUCUAAAUGCAUCGCCAUGGCCUCGUCUCACCACCCACACUCCACAGUUCUUACUCAUUUCUGCUGUCAACGUUUUACAGCUACAGACAGAAAGCUUUAGAGAGGCUGACCUGAGAAGCUCUGCUAACGGUUAGCUGACUGUAGCACGUCUCAGGACGGGGAGAAGCCACUGUGUAGUCUGAUAACUAAACACCUGCAUUUAUUACACGACGUUAGCUGCUAGCCAGAGCUGGGAAUUAUUAUGGUGUUACUGUUCGUCAACUCUCAAUCAAGCUAGGUAGCGCAGGAAGUUAGAUUUAGGCCACAUUAGUUUGUGUGUGGUUGGCCCAUAGACUGCAGCUUGAGAAUGUCAGCUUCAUUGAAACAAAUUUAAAGUGGCUAACUGCAGACAGUGCUACAGUAAGCGGAGCAAAGCCAUAUAAAAUGACUCCCAAGGUAAUCAGACGACACUGAAUACUUAGAGGAUUCGGCUAGCGUAGCUAAGCACUGCCUGUCAGAAGCUAACGCUGGCUAGCAUGAUAAGCAGCCAGCUAAAUAGCCAAUGUUGGCUAACGCCGAAUUUGUGCUCGUACACAAACACGGUUAGCUCGUUUACAGACAGAGCUCACCUGAAAAGGCUCGCCAGUGAACCUGAACGCAAUUUGCGUGGAUGUAGACGAGAGCUACGCAAUAAACGAAGGGAACCAGCGCAGGGCCCUUUGAAGAAUACCCACAGCAACGCUUCUUGUGCGUGUCUGCGCCUGACUCUUUGGGCUGGCCUAUUCUCUGAACAAUCAGAAGGUUCAAGCACUCAGCGCAGGGAAACUGUAGAUGUGAUUGGGAAGGUCUCUUGGACGCUUUCCCUUCUCCAACACUUUCAAGCUUGACUGAAAUUUGCAACUGCCCGCAUGAACACGCCAAACGCCUUCUGGAGACACGGUUUCUAAUCAAAUGAGACAAAAGGUUGAGCUAGUUGGCCAUGAUGACGAAAGAUGACUUCACACAUAAGAACACAACUGUCAAGCAUGCUGUUAGCAUCGUACCCUGAGGCUGUACCGUUACACUUCACAAAGUGGAUGGAUUAAUGAAUGUGAAGGAUCACCUCCAAAGGCUCCAACUUUUCAUCAAAUCAACAAUUACACCUUUGGCACAGUUAUGUGAUCUAACACGGUAACGACCUCCAACACACAUCAGAGCUGGUUCUGGAAUAGAUAAUGCUAACAUUUAGCAAAGCCCCAACCCUGUUGAAGCUUAUGGAUUAUGCUUGAAUGUGGGUGCAUCCAGGUUCAUUUCACCAAUCCUGCCAAGAACAGUGCUCAAACAUCCAGCCAGAAUUAUACCAGGAGCUCGCUGAUGGCUACCAAAGCAUUUGGCUGAGGUGCAACAUGCUAAGGACAUUUAACCAUAUAUUACUGUGGCUGUAUCCAUAUGAGCCUGUAUAGAAAAU
This is a long non-coding RNA of Oreochromis aureus, 4782 nucleotides long. RefSeq lists it as uncharacterized. The record is from RefSeq and is a predicted model, not a curated record. NCBI's taxonomy places the organism in Eukaryota, Metazoa, Chordata, Actinopteri, Cichliformes, Cichlidae. The transcript is spliced from 3 exons.